GCAUGCGCAGCUACACAUGCAGUCGAGCGGUAACAGGAAGAAGCUUGCUUCUUUGCUGACGAGCGGCGGACGGGUGAGUAAUACUUGGGAACUUGCCUUUAGGAGGGGGAUAACCGCUGGAAACGGUGGCUAAUACCGCAUAAUGUCUACGGACCAAAGCAGGGGCUCUUCGGACCUUGCACCUAAAGAUAGGCCCAAGCGAGAUUAGCUAGUUGGUGGGGUAAAGGCCCACCAAGGCGACGAUCUCUAGCUGUUCUGAGAGGAUGAUCAGCCACACUGGGACUGAGACACGGCCCAGACUCCUACGGGAGGCAGCAGUGGGGAAUAUUGCACAAUGGGGGAAACCCUGAUGCAGCCAUGCCGCGUGUGUGAAGAAGGCCUUCGGGUUGUAAAGCACUUUCAGUGGUGAGGAAGGCCGUAAGAUUAAUACUCUUGCGGAUUGACGUUAACCACAGAAGAAGCACCGGCUAACUCCGUGCCAGCAGCCGCGGUAAU
RNAcentral lists this ribosomal RNA (495 nucleotides) under Pseudidiomarina sediminum. Its description in RNAcentral is "bacterial SSU rRNA". It matches the Rfam family "Bacterial small subunit ribosomal RNA", at positions 42 to 524 of the family's 1533-position model. The record is from RNAcentral. Lineage: Bacteria; Pseudomonadati; Pseudomonadota; Gammaproteobacteria; Alteromonadales; Idiomarinaceae.